GGGCACAUGGUGUAGUUGGUUAUCACGCUCGCUUAGCAUUAGUUCUGGUCUGCGAGAGGUGUUGGGUUCAAUUCCCAAUGUGUCCA
Non-coding RNA from Flammula alnicola, 86 nucleotides. Lineage: Eukaryota; Fungi; Basidiomycota; Agaricomycetes; Agaricales; Strophariaceae. The record is from the annotation of a GenBank genome assembly.